Molecule: long non-coding RNA, 1719 nt
Organism: Centruroides sculpturatus (bark scorpion)
Lineage: Eukaryota; Metazoa; Arthropoda; Arachnida; Scorpiones; Buthidae
Exons: 4
Source: RefSeq, a predicted model, not a curated record
UUACAAUAUCAUUAAUUGGAACAAAGGUAGUUCCUAUUAUAUAUAUAGUAAUUAAGGAAAAAGGCGAGUUAUGGAUAAAUUAAGAAUAAUUGUAGAUGUAACUAGAUUGGAAAGUGUUUCUGGCUUUUAAAGCUAUUAAUAAUUGCAGAAAUUAUUAACUGCGGGCUUAGUGGAGAAAAUACAAAGAAUUAAUUUAAAUCCUCAGAUGAGAAAGAAUGAAGUGACCAAGUUUGGUAUUCCAUUGAGUACUGUUUCAAUGAUAAUAAAGAACAGAGAUUCAGUAGAGAGAAACUUCAAAAAUAACAAGAAAGUGAAAAAAAUUGAAAAUGUUCUUUUCUAGAUGUAGAUGAAUGUGUAAGAAAAUGGUUUGUGCAAUGUUGACCAAGAAGUUUGUUCCUCUUACAAGGAGACAGACAAACGUUUGCCUUUCUGAUUUGAAUGAAUCUUGGUGAGCACAUAGUCCUAAACACAAAUAGUUCCUUGUCCAAAUAAUAGGAUCCACUUUACAAGCAUCUCCAAAAAACAGGCCUCUGAAAAUUAAGUGUUUAGCUAUAAGUCUAGAAGUUCUAAUUAUGCUAUGAGCCCACACCAAAAAACUUUGUUUCCAAAAAUUGCAGGUCAAGACAAUGCUUUUCUGUUUUUAUGACUCCAAGGUUAUCAUACACAAGAAAUUUGUCCCAAACAGCCAUAAUGUUACCAGAGAAUAUUAUUUAGGUAUUUUGGAAUGUCUCUGGAACUGAAUUUCACAUACAUAGCCAGAGUUUCAUGCUCAAGGAAGCUGGACCCUACUGCAUGACAGUGUGCCCAUAAGAGCACUGCUGUUUGUCAAAUUUUGGCUCAAAAAGAUAUUAUAACCCUAGAUCAACCAUAUUCUCCCAAUCUGGCUCCCUGUGACUAUUUUCUGUUCCCAAAAGAAUGAACUCAAUCUCAAGAAUGAACUUGUAACAAGUCCCUUUCAUUGGGACCUGUUAUAAGUUCAUUCUUGAGGUUGAGGAUGCUGUAACUGCAGUACUGAACCAGAUGCCAAAACUGAAAGUCUUUUGAAAUGUUCAUCGCUCAUUCUAAACAUUGUAUUGCUGCAGAGGGAUCUUAUUUCAAAUAAAUAAACAUAUUUUUAUAAAUAUUUCUUGUAGUUUUUCCUUUCUAGAGGAAAAGUUUGGUUUAUUUUUAGACAACCUAUGUACAAAGCAAACCAGAAGCUUGGACAAGUUAAAUCUUUAGUGGCUGAUUGAAAGGAAUUGACAAAUCUUAUGGGUUUAAAAAAAAAGAAAAAUUCUUCUUUUUGUUGAUAACUGCAACAAUCAUUCCAAUCUCCCUACUCUAAAAAUAUCACUGUAAGAUUUUUGUCUCCAAUAUUACAUCUAAGCUGCAACCUCUUGAUUAAGGGAUCAUUGAAAGUUUCAAAGUAGGAUACAGGAGAGAACUGGUUCAAAAACUUAUAGAUGCCAUCAAUGAUGGCAAUACCCUUUCUACUAUCAAUGUUUUGGAUGCUAUGAGGAUAAUAGACUAUUCUUGGAGGAUUGUUACAGAGAAGACAAUCAAUGUUGAGAACUUUCCUUGAAUGUCCGGAAGAUAUUAGUUGGAUGCAUUUGCAGUAGUGUUGCAAUGAAUAGUAUAUUCGGCCAAACUAUUUGGCUUGAUUAACGCACGUACGAAAAUUUGCGCGCAAACUGCAUUAUGGCAAGGACCCUGCUCUCUAUUGGCCCACUGUCACUACGC